RNAcentral lists this ribosomal RNA (451 nucleotides) under uncultured bacterium. RNAcentral describes it as "bacterial SSU rRNA". It matches the Rfam family "Bacterial small subunit ribosomal RNA", at positions 29 to 523 of the family's 1533-position model. The record is from RNAcentral.
AGCGAACGCUGGCGGCAGGCUUAACACAUGCAAGUCGAGCGGGCGUAGCAAUACGUCAGCGGCAGACGGGUGAGUAACGCGUGGGAACAUACCUUUUGGUUCGGAACAGCACAGGGAAACUUGUGCUAAUACCGGAUAAGCCCUUACGGGGAAAGAUUUAUCGCCGAAAGAUUGGCCCGCGUCUGAUUAGCUAGUUGGUGAGGUAAUGGCUCACCAAGGCGACGAUCAGUAGCUGGUCUGAGAGGAUGAUCAGCCACAUUGGGACUGAGACACGGCCCAAACUCCUACGGGAGGCAGCAGUGGGGAAUAUUGGACAAUGGGCGCAAGCCUGAUCCAGCCAUGCCGCGUGAGUGAUGAAGGCCCUAGGGUUGUAAAGCUCUUUUGUGCGGGAAGAUAAUGACGGUACCGCAAGAAUAAGCCCCGGCUAACUUCGUGCCAGCAGCCGCAGUAC